GAUGAACGCUGGCGGCGUGCCUAAUACAUGCAAGUCGAGCGAACAGAUAAGGAGCUUGCUCCUUUGACGUUAGCGGCGGACGGGUGAGUAACACGUGGGUAACCUACCUAUAAGACUGGGAUAACUUCGGGAAACCGGAGCUAAUACCGGAUAACAUUUGGAACCGCAUGGUUCUAAAGUGAAAGAUGGUUUUGCUAUCACUUAUAGAUGGACCCGCGCCGUAUUAGCUAGUUGGUAAGGUAACGGCUUACCAAGGCAACGAUACGUAGCCGACCUGAGAGGGUGAUCGGCCACACUGGAACUGAGACACGGUCCAGACUCCUACGGGAGGCAGCAGUAGGGAAUCUUCCGCAAUGGGCGAAAGCCUGACGGAGCAACGCCGCGUGAGUGAUGAAGGGUUUCGGCCCGUAAAACUCUGUUAUUAGGGAAGAACAAACGUGUAAGUAACUGUGCACGUCUUGACGGUACCUAAUCAGAAAGCCACGGCUAACUACGUG
RNAcentral lists this ribosomal RNA (497 nucleotides) under uncultured bacterium. RNAcentral describes it as "partial 16S ribosomal RNA". It matches the Rfam family "Bacterial small subunit ribosomal RNA", at positions 28 to 507 of the family's 1533-position model. The record is from RNAcentral.